Long non-coding RNA from Numida meleagris (helmeted guineafowl), 1626 nucleotides. The record is from Ensembl. NCBI's taxonomy places the organism in Eukaryota, Metazoa, Chordata, Aves, Galliformes, Numididae.
CUCAGCUCGUUGGUGUUCUCUAGGAUCUGAUGUUAUCCUCUGUAUGGACUUGAAUGAUUUGGCCUAUUUGGUUUAUCAUUUCUUCUGUCCUGUGUAAUAGCUCCCAGGUGAGCAGAACCAGCUGAAAUGGAGGUGAAGAGCAACUGAGAGAGAACUGCCAUGGUUCCAGCAUGUUCUGCACCCAGAGAGUGCCAAAAGGGAGGCUAAACACCUCAGAAAUUACUGGUCAGUUGGCAUCCGCAUAGAGCUGUUUAUCAAAGCUCUUAGCCCUGUACAGUAUAAAUUGCCUUCAUUUGACCCAAACUGUAGGAUCAUUCUCCUCCUGCUUCUCCUUCAGUUCAGCAACAACCAUGGUGUGUGUGUUCUCUUGUCUGAAGGCUGUUGUUUUCACUAUCAUGCUGCUUGGAAGAUGCCAUUUCUGUGUAUCAUGAUGAUGCAGCAUGAAGCAGAGAGGUUGGGGGUGUUUUGAAGAAUAGCACGCAGAUGGGAUGCUGCGGGGAAUUGGCAUACAGGAUGGUAUAAGGAAUUAAAUGUGUUGGACUGCCAGGCAACGAGAAAGACAUUAAAACAGCACACUUCCUGUGAAAGAAAAGUCAUGUAAGCAAUGUUUAAUUUAAGUGCUGCUGAACUAAGCAAAUGGCUGUUUUACAUAUCACUUACCGUGUGCUUUCAGAACUUUAAUUCAUUGAUGAUUUCUGUGCUCUCUUGACCCACAGUAAUAAUGGCCACUUCAGUGGCUGAUUUGCACCAUGGAGAGAAAAGCCAGGGGGCAGAAUUCCCAAGCUACUCAGUACAGGACCCUUAAAUAUUCAGCACAUUUCGGCUGCAACAGCAAAUUUACAAUUGUGUUUCUAAUUGUCUUGUUACAACAUGGAUGUGCAAUGUGUCAAAAAAUGAAAAUAUUAAUAACGACUAACAUAUCAUACUCGCUAUAAUCAUCUUUAGUCUGUCUCUGAACCUAUGGAUUUUGAAACUGAAAGGUGCUUGUAGAUUUCAGCAUGAACUCCUCUUAUCAGGGGUGUCUUGCUAUGCAGAAGAGGAUGCAGUGUUCAAGUCUGUGGACAAGAUGAAUGUACCAGACACAUGUAACCCCUGGCAUAGGCGUUCAUGACCACAGCAGAUAAGGACACAGGAUUUUGGACACAACUCAUUUUCUCACUCCAGUGUUUAUAAUUCUUUAACUUUACAUUAUUUUGUGAGUGGGUGCCGUUCCCAAGCACUUCAGUUUCUAAGACAUUGUGCCUUGGCUGAGUCAUCAUCAUCCAAAUGUCAUCUGCAGUGCUGAGCAUCUGAAAAUCAUGCUCAGGGAUGCUCUGUCCUUCUAGCACAAUGAUUUUUCUGAAAAUUGGCUUUUUUUUUUAAAAAUUGAAUUGCUACUGUGGCAUGGGACAAAUCUAUUUAAUUCCUAUGAAACUUUGGGGUGCUUAAUUUCUUAUUUAUCUAUUACUUUUUAUUGCUCAUAUCUACUUCUGAGAGGUGUUGUGAGAGCACAUUAAUGUAUGCAGGUGCAUGGUACAAGAUUAUCAUGGUGGGAUAAGGGAUUCACCACAAAUAUGAGAGGACUAUAAAUUUUAUGGGGUUAUGUGGAGAAAUAAAAAUGUGUAGGAUGAGAUUAUUGUCCUUUUC